GAAAUGCGAUAACUAGUGUGAAUUGCAGAAUUCCGUGAAUCAUCGAGUCUUUGAACGCACAUUGCGCCCCCUGGUAUUCCGGGGGCAUGCCUGUCCGAGCGUCAUUGCUGCCCAUCAAGCACGGCUUGUGUGUUGGGUCGUCGUCCCCUCUCCGGGGGGGACGGGCCCCAAAGGCAGCGGCGGCACCGCGUCCGAUCCUCGAGCGUAUGGGGCUUUGUCACCCGCUCUGUAGGCCCGGCCGGCGCUUGCCGAACGCAAAUCAAUCUUUUUCCAGGUUGACCUCGGAUCAGGUAGGGAUACCCGCUGAACUUAAGC
RNAcentral lists this unclassified non-coding RNA (315 nucleotides) under plant metagenome. RNAcentral describes it as "partial contains 5.8S ribosomal RNA, internal transcribed spacer 2, and large subunit ribosomal RNA". The stretch from base 1 to 104 matches the Rfam family "5.8S ribosomal RNA", at positions 50 to 154 of the family's 154-position model. The record is from RNAcentral.